CAAACGGCCCUUUUGAGGGCCAUAGCCACUGCUACGCAAAUAACGU
This is a non-coding RNA of Macrostomum lignano, 46 nucleotides long. Lineage: Eukaryota; Metazoa; Platyhelminthes; Macrostomidae. The record is from Rfam.